RNAcentral lists this ribosomal RNA (250 nucleotides) under uncultured bacterium. Its description in RNAcentral is "partial 16S ribosomal RNA". It matches the Rfam family "Bacterial small subunit ribosomal RNA", at positions 524 to 773 of the family's 1533-position model. The record is from RNAcentral.
UACGGAGGGAGCAAGCGUUACUCGGAAUUAUUGGGCGUAAAGGGCGCGUAGGCGAUUCGACAAGUCAACUGUGAAAGCCCAGGGCCUAACCCUGGAAGUGCAGCUGAUACUGUCGGAUUUGAGUUCCGGAGAGGAAGGCAGAAUUCCCGGUGUAGCGGUGAAAUGCGUAGAUAUCGGGAGGAAUACCAGUGGCGAAGGCGGCCUUCUGGACGGAUACUGACGCUGAGGCGCGAAAGCCAGGGGAGCAAAC